Molecule: ribosomal RNA, 253 nt
Filed under: uncultured bacterium
Lineage: Bacteria
Description: partial 16S ribosomal RNA
Rfam family: Bacterial small subunit ribosomal RNA
Source: RNAcentral
UACGGAGGAUGCAAGCGUUAUCCGGAAUGAUUGGGCGUAAAGGGUCCGCAGGUGGCAAUGUAAGUCUGCUGUCAAAGAAUGAGGCUUAACCUCAUCAAGGCAGUGGAAACUACAUAGCUAGAGUACGGUCGGGGUAGAAGGAAUUCCUGGUGUAGCGGUGAAAUGCGCAGAUAUCAGGAAGAACACCCGUGGCGAAGGCGGCUCUCUGGGACGGUACUGACGCUGAGGAGCGAAAGCGUGGGGAGCGAACAGG